This 253-nucleotide ribosomal RNA is filed under the name uncultured bacterium. RNAcentral's name for it is "partial 16S ribosomal RNA". It matches the Rfam family "Bacterial small subunit ribosomal RNA", at positions 524 to 776 of the family's 1533-position model. The record is from RNAcentral.
UACGUAGGGGGCGAGCGUUAUCCGGAAUUACUGGGUGUAAAGGGAGCGUAGACGGCGAAGUAAGCCUGAAGUGGAAGCCCGCGGCCCAACCGCGGAACUGCUUUGGGAACUGCUUAGCUGGAGUAUGGGAGGGGUAAGCGGAAUUCCUGGUGUAGCGGUGAAAUGCGUAGAUAUAUGGAGGAACACCGGUGGCGAAAGCGGCUCUCUGGCCUGUGACUGACACUGAGGCUCGAAAGCGUGGGGAGCAAACAGG